UACUAGAGUAGCACUCGCAUAUCAAUAAGCGGAGGAAAAGAAACUAACAAGGAUUCCCUUAGUAACGGCGAGUGAAGCGGGAAGAGCUCAAAUUUGAAAUCUUCAAGGUUCUACCUUGACGAAUUGUAGUUUAUAGAAGUGUUUUCUGUUAGUAGAGUGGCGAAAGUUCUUUGGAAUAGGACAUCAUAGAGGGUGAGAAUCCCGUAUUUGGUCAUUCUUUCUAGCUUUGUGAUACACUUUCAACGAGUCGGAUUGUUUGGGAAUGCAGUCCAAAAUGGGUGGUAAAUUUCAUCUAAAGCUAAAUAUUGGCGAGAGACCGAUAGCGAACAAGUACCGUGAGGGAAAGAUGAAAAGAACUUUGAAAAGAGAGUUAAACAGUACGUGAAAUUGUCAAAAGGGAAGCGUUUGACACCAGUGUUGUUUUCUCGAAAAUCAAUUAAAAAUGGCCGGAUUUCGUGUUGUAUUGACCUUAUAAGCUUUCUGCACUCUUUUCUUGUCUUUUUUAAUGCACUUUUCGUUUAACAAGUCAACAUCAAUUUCUUUUGUUGUAAAAGAGUCAUUGGAAGGUGGCUUUCUUUUCGGAGAAAGUGUUUAUAGCCUUUGAUCUCUGCAACCGGAGAGACUGAGGUCUGCAGCGUAGACUCUUCGGGGUUAGAUACAUUUGUGCUAAGCUAUAGCUUUUUAUAGACAACUUGUUGACUAUAUUUAGUCUUGUGGCUUACUCGCUUAUGCUAUUUUACCUACGCUUAGGAUGUUGAAGAUGUAGCACAUCAU
This 774-nucleotide ribosomal RNA is filed under the name uncultured Neocallimastigales. RNAcentral's name for it is "partial large subunit ribosomal RNA". It matches the Rfam family "Eukaryotic large subunit ribosomal RNA", at positions 20 to 635 of the family's 3401-position model. Lineage: Eukaryota; Fungi; Neocallimastigomycota; Neocallimastigomycetes; Neocallimastigales. The record is from RNAcentral.